AUACAGUGGUGUGGACAUCUUCUUAAAAGCUUUUUGUACCUUUCCCAAGCUUCAUAUAGUGAUUCUCCUUCCUAUUGUACAAAAGAUGUGAUUUCUCCUCUCAGCUU
Abrus precatorius (Indian licorice) is the source of this 107-nucleotide small nucleolar RNA. Lineage: Eukaryota; Viridiplantae; Streptophyta; Magnoliopsida; Fabales; Fabaceae. The record is from RefSeq and is a predicted model, not a curated record.